GCGCCGUUAGCUCAGUCUGGUAGAGCAGGUGGCUCUUAACCACUUGGCCGGGGGUUCAAAUCCCUCACGGCGCACCA
RNAcentral lists this transfer RNA (77 nucleotides) under bacterium. RNAcentral's name for it is "tRNA-Lys". It matches the Rfam family "tRNA". Rfam says of the family: Transfer RNA (tRNA) molecules are approximately 80 nucleotides in length. Their secondary structure includes four short double-helical elements and three loops (D, anti-codon, and T loops). RNAcentral also lists the same sequence under 1 other name. The record is from RNAcentral.